This 74-nucleotide transfer RNA is filed under the name Octopus vulgaris (common octopus). It matches the Rfam family "tRNA". Rfam says of the family: Transfer RNA (tRNA) molecules are approximately 80 nucleotides in length. Their secondary structure includes four short double-helical elements and three loops (D, anti-codon, and T loops). The record is from Rfam by way of RNAcentral. Lineage: Eukaryota; Metazoa; Mollusca; Cephalopoda; Octopoda; Octopodidae. RNAcentral also lists the same sequence under 1 other name.
GCCGAAAUAGCUCUGUUGGAAGAGCGUUAGACUGAUGAUCUAAAAGGUCCCUGGUUCAUUCCCGGGUUUCGGCA